ACGGCGCCAUUUCUCUCCGUGGCACAGGGCUUGGACUAUCCGACAGCCAACCUCUCAACACAGUGGGUCAACAGCGACGCCUCCCUCCUACACAAUGUUCGCUAUGUCGGAGGUUUUGUCUUGCGCCCCAUUCUCCUCUGUUCGCAAAGUACCUCCUUUGCCACAGGGUUCUUCUGUGCCCCACCUUGCGACAUGUUCUACUUUGGCGUGUUCAUUGUCCAAACUGACGCUAGCAACAAUAUCGUUGAAGGGAAUCCACAGGUGGUCUGGUCUGCCAACCGGGCUCAUCCUCUUAGGGAGAAUGCCACCGUUGAGCUAACUUUAGAUGGAGAAUUGGUCCUUUGUGAUGCUGAUGGUAGCCUGGUCUGGUCGACCGGUAGCUCAGGGAGGAUGGUAGCUGGCAUGGUGAUCACCAACAUCGGCAAUCUGGUGCUAUUUGAUCUGAUGAAGGCAACUAUAUGGCAGUCAUUUGAUCAUCCUACCGAUGCAUUGGUCCCUGGACAGUCACUUGUAGAUGGCAUGAGGCUCACAGCAAGUACCUCUGAUACAAAUUGGACUGAGACUCAACUGUAUGUCACUGUACACCCCGAUGGUUUAUAUGCUUGCAUUGCAUCCGCACCACCACAGCUGUACUAUGCGAUGAGAUCAAACGAAGAAAAGACAGGAAAUUAUACAACAAAGGUUACAUUCAUGAAUGGCAGCCUCAGCAUCUUUCUCGAACCAAAAAAUCCAGAUUCGAAUAGCAUCUCAUUGCCAACACCCAACACCGGCCAGCACAUGAGACUAAUGUCUGAUGGCCACCUGAGGAUGUAUGAAUGGCAUAUUGCAGAAGACAUGUGGCAUGAUGUGUAUGAUGUAAUGCAGCCAGACAAUGGUGAGUGUGCUUUCCCAACCCGACCCCAUUGUGAAUGUAACCAACCAAGAUGAUUGUAAACAAGCCUGCUUGAAAAACUGCUCCUGCAGGGCCGUCAGCUUCAGACACUUGGAGAAGGUGGAUUUGGAUCUGUUUAUGAAGGGAAAUUAGGUGAAGAGAGAGUUGCCGUGAAACGUUUGGAAGGUGCUAGACAAGGAAUGAAAGAAUUCUUGGCAGAGGUGGAGACUAUUGGAAGCAUCGAACACAUCAAUCUUGUCAGGCUGAUUGGUUUUUGUGCAGAGAAAUCUCAGAGGCUUCUAGUAUACGAAUAUAUGCCUAGAGGGUCACUUGAUAGGUGGAUUCAUUACCGCCACAACAACGCACCACUCGAUUGGUGCACGCGGUGUAGAAUCAUUCUGGAUAUUGCCAAAGGCAUGUGCUAUCUUCAUGAGGGGUGCAGGAGAAAGAUAGCUCAUUUGGACAUCAAACCACAAAAUAUUCUCCUAGAUGAGAACUUCAAUGCUAAAGUGGCUGAUUUUGGACUAUCUAAGCUAAUAGACAGGGAUCAAAGCAAGGUAAUGACGAUGAUGAGAGGCACGCCUGGGUAUAUGGCACCUGAAUGGUUAACCUCACAAAUUACUGAAAAGGUUGAUGUCUACAGCUUUGGUGUAGUUGUCAUGGAGCUAAUAAGUGGGAGAAAAAAUAUUGAUAAUUCUUUGCCUGAGGAGAGUUCUCACCUCAUCAAUUUGUUCAGAGGAAAGGCUCGAGAUAAUCAAUUGAGUGAUCUGAUUGACAAACAUAGUCAAGACAUGCUCUCACACCAGGAGCAAGUGAUUGAAAUGAUGAAGCUUGGAAUGUGGUGCCUGCUAAAUGAUGGUGGUCAAAGGCCUUCCAUGUCAACGGUGAUAAAGGUAUUAGAGGGUGGGAUGAGCAUAGAAACCACUAUUCUUCACAGAUUUCUCAAUACAAAUACAGUCUUGCCCCUGGAAGAUAAUCCGACCGCAUAUUCAGUUCAACCUCAAGCAUCAGUUUUAUCUGGACCAAGGUGA
This 1902-nucleotide ribosomal RNA is filed under the name Triticum aestivum (bread wheat). Its description in RNAcentral is "partial small subunit ribosomal RNA". Lineage: Eukaryota; Viridiplantae; Streptophyta; Magnoliopsida; Poales; Poaceae. The record is from RNAcentral.